CUGCGAGGAUAUUAUUGUAAAACCGAGGCACGAGGGCUGUUGCUGAUUUUGUUGUGCACGCCCAGUGCUCUCAAACAUCCAUCUCACCCUAUGUGCACCACCGCGUGGGCUCUUUUGGGAGGGGGCUUGCGUUUUCACACAAACUUAGCGCAAAGUGUCUUUUUUACGAUGACACGCAUUAAUACUUUUUUCAACAACUGACUUGUUGCCUCCCUCAACGAUGAACAACGCAACGAGCUGCAAUACGUGUGGUGAGUUGAAUACUUCGAAGCAUCAUCUCAUCUUUGAACGCUUGUUGCCCCCGUUGUUCUUACGAGGGGCACACCCUUAUGAGUGUGUAUUUCUCACAUUCUUUUUUUUGAAAGGAUUAGUACUAGGACGCUUUUGCUGUCUUUCCUUGAAACGACCUCCUCCUAGAAGGAUUAGGGGCGGCUGCUUCGACCAUUCUUGUCAUGAUAAGUGCUACUACUUGGUUUUGGUGCUGCGCUGCUUCUAACCGUCUCGAUGAUGAUGAUGGUUCCGCUGACCCACCUUGACCUCAAUCGGGUGAGACUACCCGCUGAUAAGCAUAUCA
Molecule: ribosomal RNA, 574 nt
Filed under: uncultured Russula
Lineage: Eukaryota; Fungi; Basidiomycota; Agaricomycetes; Russulales; Russulaceae
Description: eukaryotic LSU rRNA
Rfam family: 5.8S ribosomal RNA (bases 186-339)
Source: RNAcentral